AGCACGACGGUAUCAAUGGCGAAAAAAAGGCCUCUCUCUGCCGUUCUUCCUCAGCACCGCCCGGGACAAUCUUCUCGAUGCUGUCCAAUUCCCGACCCCGGCAGAUCCUCUUCCUGGAACACUGGCUUCGAGCGGCGGCCGCUGCUGACGCCUCUCAAACUCCUUCUCCUGCUGCUGCUGCUCCUCCUUCGGCGGCUGUGAUCCUCCGGUCGUGGGCCGACCUCCGUGACCCCUCCGCCGACCCUCCUCGCCUACUCUCCGCUCUCCUUACACUCUCCCGCGGCCGCUCCGCCCUCCACGUCUCCGACCCCCAGGCCAAGCUCCUCCUCUCCCUCCUCCCUUCCUCCUCUCCCGACGCCUUCCCCCUCGUCCUUUCCCUCCUCUACACCUAUCUCCGCAAGUCCUCCCGCCCUUCCGCUCCGCUCCUUCUCUCCAUCCUCUCCGUCUCCUCCUCUUUUCCCCCGUCGACUCACUCCAUCCUCCUCCUCGGUGCCCUUUCCGCCUCCCCCGCUCUCCCCGCCUCCGCCCUAUCGCCCUGCCUCGACCACCUCUGCUCUUUCUUGGAUUCCUCCCUGCCCGCGAUUUUCCGUGACGCCGACCUUCUCCCAGAAUUUCUCGCCGGCAUCGGCUACGCCCUCUCCCGAUUGGAGGACGAUGCGCGUCUUGGAAAAAUCCUUAACUUCCUGUUUCGGAUUUGGUCCGCCGAAGCCGGUGGGCUUCGACCCUCGCUCUCCCAUGGCCUUAUGGUUCUUCGCUUGUUCGAGUGGUGCACGUCGGGGUUCCUGGCUUCGAGGUCUUGGAGCAGAAUUGAGUCGCUCUGCGGAGAGAUCUCAGCGAACAAGAGCAAAUCCAGGGGGAAUUUUGCUCCCCUUUUGGUGUUGAUGGCUCCUGCCGGAGUUCUGAGGGCUUUCAGAAGCAAUAGGGUUGAAAUUGACCCUCGGCUGAGGAAGUCUAUCGAAGAGUCGAUAAGUUAUGUCACAGAGUGCACCAUUUCUAGAAUUGGGACUGAUUCUGGUUCUAAUGUAUCGGAUGACAGCCAUGUUCUGCUGCAGUGCAUUGCAAUUGGUUUGGCUCGGUGCGGCUCAAUUUCAUUCAAUGCGUCUGUGCUUCGGUGCCUUUGUCUCUCAUUGUUGAACGAAGUCUUUCCCCUGCAGUAUUUCUUUAGGAUGUCCUUAGAAAAUGUGAAUGAAAAUUUGGCCACCUGCAAGGCAAAGGAGCAUUUAGGUAGUGCCCUUUUUAAAGAAGCAGGUGCAGUGACUGGAGUCUUCUGCAAUCAGUAUGCAUCUGCAGACGAGGUCAGCAAGGCAAUGGUUGAAAACCAUUUGUGGGAUUAUUCUCAACAGGUUUACUCGAAUCUACGUUUAGCAGCAUGGGUUCAUCGAGGGAAGAGUGAUGAGUUGCUCGGGGAUUUGGAAAAGAUUGCCGAAGCUGCAUUCUUGAUGGUAGUUGUUUUUGCUGCAGAGGUUAGCAAACAUAAGUUGAAUAGCAAAUCUUCUCAUGAGUUCAGACCGGAGGUCUCUUCUAGGAUCCUUGUUGCAUUCUCUUGCAUGGAGUAUCUUCGUCGUGUUCGCCUGCCCGAGUAUACCGAGGCAGUUCGCCGUGCUGUUUUAACCCUCCAGGAGAAUGCAGAUUCAUGUGUUUCAUUUGUCGAGUCAAUGCCUCCUUACACCGAGCUAACAAAAGCACAGGGCUCAAUUAUAUUGGAGAGGAUGAGAUAUACUUGGUCACAAGAUGAAGUGCAGACUUCUCGUAUAUUAUUUUACCUGCGGGUUUUGCCAACUUGCAUAAGUUUUGUCCCUACCUCCUUGUUUGGGAAACGAGUAGCACCGACCAUGUUCUUAUAUAUGCAACACCCUAAUGAAAAAGUAACCCGAGCUUCACACUCCAUAUUUGUUUCUUUUGUAUCCUCUGGCAAGGAUUCCGAUCAGGAUGAUAGAGUUGUUUUAAAGGAGCAACUUGUUUUCUAUUACAUGCAGCAAGCUUUGCAGGUUUAUCCCAGGAUUACACCAUUUGAAGGUUUGGCUUCUGGUGUUGCUGCUUUGGUCAGGCAUCUUCCUGCUGGAAGUCCAGCAAUAUUUUAUUGUAUUCAUAGCCUUGUGGCAAAAGCUUCUGACCUUUGUGGGAAAGCCAUGAGUGAAGAUCCAACCAUGUGGAAAAAUUGGGAAGGAAGUUCAGGACCUCCUAAAAAGGUCCUGGAUCUUCUACUUCGCCUCAUUUAUCUUGUAGAUAUACAGGUGUUGCCAUACUUGUUGAAGCAAUUGGCAGAAUUCAUAAUCCAGCUGCCUAAAGAUGGUCAAAAUGCACUACUUGACGAGAUGUAUUUUCAAGUUGCCGAGUCAGAUGAUGUCACUAGAAAACCAGUUCUGGUGUCAUGGCUGCAGUCACUCUCCUUCAUAUGCUCGCAAAAGAAGGCUUCCUCCACAACUGAAGCUGCCGAGAAGCAUGGGAGCUCUGUGCCAAGUAACGAUGGCUUAAGUUGGAAUAGAACUAGCGCUCGGCUCUGAAGGUUUUCUUCUGAGCUCGUACCCCAAGUCGCAUGAAUUUACUUGGGAAAUAAAAGAGAUUCCACAAGGCAUUAUGAUCCAUUAAAUGGUGACUCAGAAAAUUUCUUGCAGUGGGAGUCAUUUUCAAAAGUCAGAUCCUUCAGAAAUGGCCGUUCAACGCAGAGACCUGCUUGCUUGUUCAGAUGGAACCUGAAGAAACGGAGGGUGGCGGCGGCCACAAUCUUCAUCUGCCUGUACGCGAAGUCUUUCCCCAGGCAACUCCGAGGGCCCGCCUAUCACAGAGAAAGAGUUCGAGUUCAGAGAUUCAUCGGAAGAAUGGUCGGCUGAUGUUACUACUGCUGCUUACAUGGAAGGCGACAAACUUGAAUGGACUCUGCGGCUUGAAACUUCCAUUCUCGAUCCAUCUCUCAGGCCUGAAGUCUUCAGCAUCUUCACCCCAAAUGUACGUCAUCCUCCCCAUGGCGUAGGUCAGGUAAGUGAUUCCGUCUCCCUUCUUCACCUCGAAGCCAUCAGGUAGCACAUCAUCUUCGUCUGCACUCUUCCCAUCCUGUCACGAAGCACGCCGUCAGAUAUGAUCUCCCGGAAGCUGAUGCGGGAGAGGUAAUGAUCGUACCACAGGAACAGCUGGAUAGAGCCGUAAGGUCUCGGUGAGCGCGGCAUGGAGAUACUGCAUCUUGUCGAUGGCUUCGUCGGUUAAGCUCAUGGCGAACUCUGCCAUGUCCGACUUGUUUCCUUCCGCCUUGGUCGCGUCUUCCACCUCGGCUGCGACCUUCUCUUGUAUCGAUGGGUGCUUGCACAGCAGGUAGAAGAACCAGGUGAGGGUGUUCGCGGUGGUGUCCUUCCCGGCCAUCAUGAAGUUGAGAAUCACGUCCCUCAGCGCUUCAAACAAGAUCAAGGUCACAGCAAAGGAAAUAUUUUGCAGGUGUUCUUGAUCAUUUACCUUGUCUUCUUCGCCGUUGUUCAUCUGGUCUCUCUUGCGGCGGAUGAGUUGGAACACGAAGUCAUCGAUCACCUUGAUGUUCCUCUUCAGCCGAGCCUCGAUGCCGACGUCGAGACGCCUUUUGACCUUCCACAAGACGUCGACGUACCUCCAGAACACGAUGGAGUUGGCGUCGUCGAAGGCCUCGCUGAAGCGAGCCCCCAACUCAUCCGAUCCCGAGAGGGUGUCGAGCUCAACGCCGAACCCCACCUUGAAGAUCGAGUCCAGCGUCGCCUUCAUCAGAAGAUCUUGCAUGUCGAAGACACUCGCGGUGGCGGCGGCGUCGGAGAUCUUCUGCGCCAGCUUUGCGGCGGUCGACCUGAACACGACGCUGCUGAAGUCCCGAAGGACUCUGGCGGAGAACUCGAAGCUGGCGAGCUUCCGCUGGUGGCGCCACUUCUCGCCGUCCACCGCGAAGAUCCCAUCGCCGAACAGAUCCCUCAUGACGGUAUAGUUGCCCUGCCCCUGGUGGCACGAUACACACACACACGCAUCAGAUGAUGAAGACCAAGAGCAGGGAGCAAGACGAGGAAGACGACCGGACCUUGCUGUACUUGGAGAAGUUGGUCUUCAGAACAUGCUCGACGUUGGCCGGAUCGGCCGUGUAGAUAUCGCUGUGAGGGGGUGCGAUCAGCCGAAAGGUCUUGUGCCGGCGAGCGACGGCGGUCUGGAAGUCGAAGACGGCGUUGAAGUGGAUCAGCAGGUGGAAGAUGGUGCCGGCGAUGGGAGGUCUGUUGGAACCUUGGAUCGACUCCUUGACGUAGAAGACGAUGAACAGUAGGAUCCAUCCGACAACGCACAAGAGUAGCCCUGCCAAGGCUGCUUUCAGAAGAUAGAACGCAAGGUGGAGGAGCAGAGAAGCCAUCAAGAUGAAGGAUAUGCCGAGAAAGUUUGCUGCCGGAGCAAGUUAGAUAUCCAUCUAAGGUGCGUCGACGUUGUCGUGUUGGAUCGUUCGUCAUAGCCAAUCAAGAACAAUACACAGGACAUACAA
This is an RNA transcript of Musa acuminata AAA Group (dessert banana), 4474 nucleotides long. RefSeq lists it as uncharacterized. The record is from RefSeq and is a predicted model, not a curated record. Lineage: Eukaryota; Viridiplantae; Streptophyta; Magnoliopsida; Zingiberales; Musaceae. The transcript has 7 exons.